RNAcentral lists this ribosomal RNA (349 nucleotides) under uncultured Anoxybacillus sp. Its description in RNAcentral is "bacterial SSU rRNA". It matches the Rfam family "Bacterial small subunit ribosomal RNA", at positions 1033 to 1382 of the family's 1533-position model. Lineage: Bacteria; Bacillati; Bacillota; Bacilli; Caryophanales; Anoxybacillaceae. The record is from RNAcentral.
ACGAGGUGGUGGCAUGGUUGUCGUCAGCUCGUGUCGUGAGAUGUUGGGUUAAGUCCCGCAACGAGCGCAACCCUCGACCUUAGUUGCCAGCAUUCAGUUGGGCACUCUAAGGUGACUGCCGGCUAAAAGUCGGAGGAAGGUGGGGAUGACGUCAAAUCAUCAUGCCCCUUAUGACCUGGGCUACACACGUGCUACAAUGGGCGGUACAAAGGGUCGCGAACCCGCGAGGGGGAGCCAAUCCCAAAAAGCCGCUCUCAGUUCGGAUUGCAGGCUGCAACUCGCCUGCAUGAAGCCGGAAUCGCUAGUAAUCGCGGAUCAGCAUGCCGCGGUGAAUACGUUCCCGGGCCUU